This 306-nucleotide unclassified non-coding RNA is filed under the name uncultured Ascomycota. RNAcentral describes it as "sequence contains ITS1". The stretch from base 1 to 105 matches the Rfam family "5.8S ribosomal RNA", at positions 50 to 154 of the family's 154-position model. The record is from RNAcentral. Lineage: Eukaryota; Fungi; Ascomycota.
GAAAUGCGAUAAGUAAUGUGAAUUGCAGAAUUCAGUGAAUCAUCGAAUCUUUGAACGCACAUUGCGUCUUCUGAUAUUUCGAAAGACAUGUCUGUUCGAGCGUCAUUACUGUUCUCAAGCGCGACUUGUGUGUUGGGCUCUCGUCUCUUCGAGAGCGAGCUCGAAAGACAGUGACGGCGCCGUGCUCGAUUCUCGAGCGUAUGGGGCUCUGUCACCCGCUCUGAAGGCCCGGCCGGCCGCCGCCGAUCUCACAGACCUCAACCAUCGGUUGAUCUCGAAUCAGGCAGGGAUACCCGCUGAACUUAA